AUGGCUCUGGGUUUGAAUGGGCACCUUACCAAGCUGGCGACUCUCAAUAUCCAUGACUACUUGACCAAGGGCCAUGAAAUGACAAGCAUUGGACUGCUACUUGGUGUUUCUGCUGCAAAACUAGGCACCAUGGAUAUGUCUAUUACUCGGCUUCUUAGCAUUCACAUUCCUGCUCUCUUACCCCCAACGUCCACAGAGCUGGAUGUUCCUCACAAUGUCCAAGUGGCUGCAGUGGUUGGCAUUGGCCUUGUAUAUCAAGGGACAGCUCACAGACAUACUGCAGAAGUCCUGUUGGCUGAGAUAGGACGGCCUCCUGGUCCUGAAAUGGAAUACUGCACUGACAGAGAGUCAUACUCCUUAGCUGCUGGCUUGGCCCUGGGCAUGGUCUGCUUGGGGCAUGGCAGCAAUUUGAUAGGUAUGUCUGAUCUCAAUGUGCCUGAGCAGCUCUAUCAGUACAUGGUUGGAGGACAUAGGCGCUUUCAAACAGGAAUGCAUAGGGAGAAACAUAAAUCACCAAGUUAUCAAAUCAAAGAAGGAGAUACCAUAAAUGUGGAUGUGACUUGUCCAGGUGCUACUCUAGCUUUGGCUAUGAUCUACUUAAAAAACCAAUAACAGUGUCUUCUAGGAAGCCCAGACACAUGGAGAAGUUCUGAGUGUUUUGGCCGAUAGUCCCAGAUGAGGUUCCAGCAACAGCUGGGAUCACCCAUGAGAUGUGAGUGAGGAAGGCUUUGAGAUGGUUUCAGCCCUAGCCACCACUGACCUCAUAAGAGACCACAAGAAAGAGAAUCACCUGGCCAAGCCCAGCAGACCUUCAGAAUUCAGAAAUAAAAUAAUUCGUCUUAUUUUAAGCCACUGUGUUUUGGUUUGAUUCAUCCCAUAGCAAAAGACAACUUCAACAGGCCCUUUCUGAGGCUCUGGAGGGGCCCUGGCAAUGUAUCCAUUUGGUCAUUUGCUUUUGACAAAAGCAGACAUUUUAGCUGUAAUUGGCUAAAAUUC
This 996-nucleotide long non-coding RNA is filed under the name Pan paniscus (pygmy chimpanzee). RNAcentral's name for it is "lncRNA (ENSPPAG00000044246.1)". Lineage: Eukaryota; Metazoa; Chordata; Mammalia; Primates; Hominidae. The record is from RNAcentral.